RNAcentral lists this unclassified non-coding RNA (215 nucleotides) under soil metagenome. RNAcentral's name for it is "partial contains 5.8S ribosomal RNA, internal transcribed spacer 2, and large subunit ribosomal RNA". The record is from RNAcentral.
AAGACUAUAGACCUGCGGAGUACCUGCGGAGGGAUCAUUAAAGAAAGCUUUAGGCUUUUCUUUUUUUAAAUUCAACUGCUGUCUUUUCCUGUGUUGCUUCUGCUAGAUAGUUCUUUACACUUGAUAGCAGAAGGUUUAUAUUUAUGCUAUUAAUAAGUAUAUGAAGUCUGAAUAAAAAUAAGAAAUUAUUUAAAAACUUUUAGCAACGGAUCUCU